GGGCUGCCACCAGACUGCUGUCUCUUCAUCUAUGAUUCAAGACUUAAUUUUCCCGUCUUCAGCCCUCCAGUCAUUCUUCAGUCAUCCUGUGUGAAUUUUACAUUUCUAAAAACAAGAAACUCGCCUUAAGACUAAGAGGAAAAUUGAGCAACACAUCAAGAUUUGAGCCAAACGGGCCAAGCAUGAAAAUUGUCUCUUCCCGGGCUCAAUGCAAACCUUGUUCACAGCUUUCAGCAUCAACAAAAACCAGCAACCUAACCAAGACUGAUAGGGAUCAAAUGCACCCACUGAGACCGGGGAACAAACACGAUAAUACUUAUAACGACAUCCGAAGACUAUGAAGCUCAGUAACACCGUUUUUAAAGGAGGAUUGCUUGAAAAACAGAAAGUCCGCUCCAUGCUGAGAGAAAAUAUAUAUAUUUCCUUGGUCUUGUCUUUUGUGUCCAUGAUGACUUCAUGCAGCAGUUGCACACAAUGUUUCAAACAUCCUCUUCAAUCAACUGCUUUAAUAGGGAACAUUACUAUUCCAAAUGUGGAAUUUUGGUUUGGUUGCCUCAACUUAAUAAAAACUGUAAAGAAUAGAAUAUGUACAGAACCUAUCAAAUCCACAGUUCAAGAAUUCAAAAUGCAUAGUUAUGCUUUUCCUAAUAUGAAUGGCUGUACCGUUAUGUUGAGGGACAUGACUGUAUAAGCUUUGAGAGACUCUGAAAUUAUUAAGAAACCAAGAGGACAUUUCUUGGGUAGCAAAGCUUUCCAUUCAUAUUGACUGAAGUAGGCCAAGAACCGGUAACAGUAGGAAUUUUAUUGGUGAGCUUUGGAUACCUCAUCCAGUGAUUGGCCAGCGCAGUUCUGUUGUCAGAACCUCCCUCUAGCUAAACAGACUAUGCUGUAUGAGAAGAGAUGUGAUAACUGGAUGAUCGUAACAACAGCAGCCACACAAAGGCCAAGCCAACUCAAACUACAGCCUGAGAAGACGGAUGCAGAAGGAUCUUCUGAACUCCAAGAGGAAGUUGGUGGGAAAGAGUCCAGCUGUCCUAUGGUGGUGUGAGUCUACAUCUCCCUCACUAGGAAGAGCCUGGUGGAUAUCAGCAGAAGGCAACCAAUGACCUUGUGGCUAAGUGAGUAAGC
Molecule: long non-coding RNA, 1128 nt
Organism: Rana temporaria (common frog)
Lineage: Eukaryota; Metazoa; Chordata; Amphibia; Anura; Ranidae
Exons: 3
Source: RefSeq, a predicted model, not a curated record